Molecule: ribosomal RNA, 253 nt
Filed under: uncultured bacterium
Lineage: Bacteria
Description: partial 16S ribosomal RNA
Rfam family: Bacterial small subunit ribosomal RNA
Source: RNAcentral
UACGUAGGGGGCAAGCGUUGUCCGGAUUUAUUGGGCGUAAAGAGCGUGUAGGCGGCUAGAUAGGUCUCUUGUGAAAACUCGAGGCUCAACCUCGAGACGUCGAUGGAAACCAUCUAGCUAGAGUCCGGAAGAGGAGAGUGGAAUUCCAGGUGUAGCGGUGAAAUGCGCAGAUAUCAGGAAGAACACCCGUGGCGAAGGCGGCUCUCUGGGACGUGACUGACGCUGAGACGCGAAAGCGUGGGGAGCGAACAGG